Long non-coding RNA from Pteropus alecto (black flying fox), 6416 nucleotides. RefSeq lists it as uncharacterized. NCBI's taxonomy places the organism in Eukaryota, Metazoa, Chordata, Mammalia, Chiroptera, Pteropodidae. The record is from RefSeq and is a predicted model, not a curated record. The transcript has 3 exons.
CUUUUUCUGCAUAUAUUAAGAUGAUUACAUAAUUUUUAUCCUUCAUUGAUGUGGUAUAUCACAUUGAUUUGUGUAUGUUGAACCACCUUUGCAUCCUUGGAAUAAAUCCUACUUAAUCAUGGUAUAUGAUUCUUGUAACGUAUCGUUGAAUUUAGUUAGCUAAUAUUUUCUUGAGUUUUGCAUGUAUUUUCAUCAGGGAUGGUGGUCUGUAGUUUUCUUCUUGUGUCCUUGUCUGGUUUUUGUAUCCGGAUAAUGCUGACUUCAUUAAAUGAAUUUGGAAGUAUUCUUUCCUCGUCUUCUUCUUCUUUUUUUUUUUUAGAAGAGUUUAAGAAGGAAGGAGACAUUAUUUUAAAGGAACUUAUCGUUAAUUAUUGAUGUUUGGUAGAAAUUAAAAACUCAAACGCCUUUAUAGUUUUCUCUGAUUUGCCUAAUUUGAACAAAGGAUUGAUAUUUAUUUCCUCUUGAAUUUAUGCUGUUAUCUUUAAAGAAAUAAACAUCAUUCAUUUGUUUUCAUUACUUCUCUCAUUCAACCAGCAAAAUCAUUGCAUUAUGUUAUGAGUUAGGCAUUGGUCCCAUGCUGGGUCCAUAAUAUAAUAUAAUAAUCAUUCUCAAGAAAAUUUUAUUGCAUAAUCUUUCUCCCUUUAAUGUCACUCUUUAAAAUUAAAAUGAAAUCAUAGACUAUUAAGGUUAAUGGAGACCAGCACUGGGGUGUGUGUGUGUGUGUUAAUGUCUCUGUGCUUAUGAGCAAGUAUAAAUCUCAGUAUUUAGAAUCUCUAAUCCACUCUAGAGAAGCAAACUAUUCUUUCCAGCAAGCAUCGUCAUUAGCUGCCAGGUUCUCUGUACCUGUACAGAGGUAUGAGUAAAGAAAAAAUUAUUCUGACACUUGUUAAAAUGAUAAGAAAGACUUUAUUCAAGACCAUUGCAAUAGGGGCGUUGUAAUGAGAGAGAGAUCAGACUCAACUCAAAUACAGCAAAGAUGGCUGGGAAUUUACAGCCAAUGAGCAGAGUGAGGAAGUCAGUAGAUGGAAAAUUACUAAGAGAAGACAUCAAAGGUAGGAGAAUUCUUACUGAAGGCGGGUCAAGGACUUACACAUCAAAGGUAAAAGAUGAAGAAAUCAGAUAUUAAGGGUGAUCAGAUUUAACUGCUAAAUCGGAAUAUAAAAAACCAAAUCCAUACCUAUUGUCACCAAUGUUAAAACCAGAAGUGUAGAGGCAUACAAGUCAGCAAAAAAGAUUUUUGUCUUUUGAAAAUGCUAUGAUAUUGCUGUAAUUUUUCUAUUUUUUCAAAAAGCCAUGAAACCUUGUAUUUACCUGCCUCAAAGGAUUCUCAAGGCCCCUUCCAGUUUUAAACUCUGAGUUCCUGGGGUUAGGCUAAGAACCAGUUUUCUUCCAGGCUGAGUUUUUCCCAGUGGGGCCUGCUGUCUCCUUUAUUAUGAUUACAACUUUGAUUAUUUCCCCCCAGCCCUUUACUAUGAAAAUUUUCAAACAUGCAGAAAAGUUGAAGCCAUUAUAUACUUAGUACCCAUAUGCCCACCAUUUAGAAUCUACAGUGCAUAUUUUGUUUUAUUUGCUUAAUCAUUUGCCUGUCUAUCAGUACAUUCUUGUUAUUUUUAAGUGUUUCUUUUAGUCCAGUGGCUUCGCUUUAUGCUAUUAAGUUAUUUUCCACAGUAAAAUAAAAAUUAGGUUUGAGUACCUUUGACAUUCUCAGUUGAGAAAACCACAAAUAAUUGAGUCCUCAUCCAUGUAAGGAAGGGGACCCCAAAUUUAACUUUUACAACAUUGGCACCCUGCAAAUGCUCACUCAGUCUGUACACUUUCCAUAAUUUAGCAUGCACAUAACUGAGAGCUUUACAUGGGGUCAAAUUGGAAAGUAUAAUUGUGUAAUUAAAUCAGUAGGAAAUUGUUUGACUUGAAUCACUCCCCUUUUCAACUAGUAGGAGUGCUCCAUUCAGUAAAGACUUCAGAAUAUGUUGCCUGAAAAGUGCUUAUGAUGAAUGAAGACAUCAUUGUGCCGUGUUUUCCUUUACUUUCAAAGUACAUAUUAUCCACUGGGAGGUUUAGGGAAAUCAAAAUACUUGCUUAAUUCCUUUUUCCGGUGUGGUCAGAUCAGUUGGGUCUUCUGGAAUGUCAAUCUGUAGUGUUUUGUUAUACUAUUUCUGACUUAGUUUUCUCUAAAUGGCUGUAAAAUUUAAAUGCUUAUCUGUAUAUUCUCUCUGUGUAGAUUUUAUGCUUCCUUACUUAUAAGAGAGAAUGAUGAUACCACCAAGUUACAUCUGUAUAGCUCUGGAUGAUUAUUAAGACCCUGCCAUGUACACUUAAAUGAAAGCAUCUGUUAUCCAUUUUUAAUAACAGAGGAAAAUGAGGCUCAGAGAGAACCUAAGUUACUUUAGAAUCUUACGCAGUCCCAGGAUCCUGGUGACUAUUAGGGAAUCAUUGAACCUGACCAUUCGUUGUGUGAAAUUAUUCAUUGAUAAAAACAUAUUUAUCCCCGUGAACAAAAUGUCACAGAAAAGAAUGUAAUGUAUUUUGUUACUUAAAAAGAAACUAAUAAGGCCUAAUCUCCAGGGGGCUAUAAAUUGGAUAAGGUCAUAUUAGCACAUCAAGUUUCGGAUAAAGAGAUGCUUUUCAAAGCUUUUAAAAAUACAAUUAACCCUUGAACAACAUACGCUUGAACUGCACAGGUCCAUUUCUAUGUGGAUCUUUUUCAAUAAAUGCCUGUACCAUUUUUGAUUCAUAAUUGGGAGUCUGUCGCUGCAGAGGGCCGACUGUUUGCAUCGAUCUACACCAUUUUAUGUAAGGGACUUGAACAUCUGGAUUUUGGUAUCUGCUUCUGAGGGAUGUUCUGGAACGAAUCCCCCGUGGAUUCCAGGGGACAACUGGUAUAGUUAAAUUUUGGAGAAGUCAGAAGUUAUAUGUGAAUUUUCAACUGUGCUAACCCUCACAUUGUUCAACGGUCAACUGUUUUAUUGAGUAUAAUAGACUUUGUUGAUUAUACCAGGCUUUCUUAGUAUAUGUGAAUUUCCUAAAUAUAACAGUCUAGGCCUUCUAACUGCAAAGUGUCUUUUUCAUAUUUUAAUGUUUUUAGAACCCUGUAAAUAUUAUUACCAACCUGUACAUUUUUUGUGGUGGUGUUUUUAUAAAGUUAAUAAAUAGAUUAUGUGUUUUACUAUUAAUAGCUGCAUAGAAAUGAGGAAAUAUACUUAGGAAUUCUGAACAAUGGGGUUCAAAUCAUGAGUCAAUUUUUAUGAGAGUCCUUUUAAAAUAUACUUUGGAGGUUCUGUUACCUACAUUCUUAAGCAGAAUCAAGUUUUUUCAAGUUUCAAAGGAAAUUUAAGGCCAUCAAGACUAGCAGCACCAGUGUAGCAUUGGUUUGCUGUUCUUUAGCGUCGUGAGCUUUUGCAGGGACUGUCUUGGAGUACGUGCAUCAGUGACUUGCGCAAGUCAGGCCUAAUAGAGUUGUGCUGGAUAUAAUUAAUUAGUCAUCACAGGGCUGUGGAGCAGAAAGAGUCAAUUUGCCAAGCUGAGAGGACCAAAAUAAUUUGUUACUUAAGCUAUUAAAAAAUGGUGCCCCUUUACCAUGUUACCUUUUUCAUGUAAUUUUAGGAAGAAAAAAAAUCUCAAGUGAUAAAUUGAUUUUUUUUUUAAAAUAAAAAUGCUGUGGAUUAUAUUUAAGUAGUCUUUUAUGUUGUACUAAUAGUUAUUCUAUGCCUUUUUGAAAAGGUGAACACUGACACAUUAGAAUUCACAGCUGGCAAAAAGAAAAGAAAAUAAAUGUUUAUUGAGAAGCAAAUUUUAAGGUACAGUGAAUAUGAAUAACCCAUAAGAGGGUGUGAGGGGAGGGAGCGAACCAAACUGGUAUUCGAACUAAACUGGUAUUCAUAUAGAACUAUUAAGAGGUUUUUUUUUCUUAAUAUAAAAGAGGAAAUAGCUACAAUAGUUUUUUGCAAAUAAAUAGCCUACAAGAUGGAAUUCUAAAAUAUAUGUUUCAAAAAAAUCAGGCAAUUUUAUGAGCCCUUUAGGACAGCACUUAUACCCCGUGUAGCGGGUUUAGAGAGCCAGAUUAGAUGGCCUCUUGGCACCCUUCCCUGUGCUUAUUCAUAAUGGGGCCAUGCUGCCCUGUUAGAACCUGGUGUCCAAGCCGGGUUGGUGAUUUAGUGCAGCAGCAAAUGGGAAGAAGAAAAGAACUGGCAACUCAGACUAUAGCAGCUGGUGUUUAUUUUUUUAAAAUAUCUAGGUGCUCAGAUGGGAAUUGCAUGUGCCAUGGUUGAAGCCCCGCCUCUCCUCCUCUUCCUGUACCCCAGGUCAUCAGGAUUAAAUAAUGAGUUUUAGAAAAAUGACCCUUAAGGACUAAUUUAAGACCCUACUCUGAAGAACUGCCCAUGAUUCUCCAGAACUAAAGGUAUUGGUUCUCAAGCUGACCUGAAGAGUUUCUGUGUCAUCUGUACAUAAAUAUUUGCCAUAUUGGAAAUUAAAACUGAGAAAUUUAAAAGAUAUCAUAGAUUCAUUAAAAAAUAAGUACGUAAAUAUUUUUAAUGAAAAGUAACCAUGUUUUCCAAAACAAAAACCAAUUUAGUAAGAAGAGUGGUGUCGUUAUACACUCUCGCAAUUCUCUAAAGUGUCUGGCUUAAUGGAAGACAGCUGGAUUCUUACCUGCUUCUGCAUUUAAUCUCGUACUGUCACACUCACAAGUAAACUCCACUAAUACUCAUGAGAGAAUGAGAGUGAAAAAGGAAAGCAACACCAUAGCAUUAUGUUGAAAGUCAUUUUGACCUCAUGUAUCCCUUGAAAAGGUCUUGGAGACCUCCAGAGGUUGCCAGACCAUAUUUUGAGAACCAUACAGAGGAUAAAGAGCAUCACUUUCUAUCUCAUUUUUUAACUUUUUAUAGAUAGAAAAACUUAGACUACUUUUAAAAAGUUAUGGUGAAAUGUAGUGCUUCCAUUUCUGGCAUGAAUGUUAGUACUGAUUCAGGAGGGUACUCUUGCACACUCCUUGUGGUCUUUGUUCCACAUGUAGAGUGCUUCGUCUUUUCCAAAGUUUUGGCCUUUUAAGACUUACAAUUGAGCGGGGGUUAGUGUUAUCCAUCUUUAACAGAUAAUAAUAAAAGUGAUAGGGGUCAGAAUUCACUAAUUAGGCCUAUAGAACAAGUCUGAGCAUUUAGGAUUAUAGCAACUCUUGAAUUAUUUACUUUUCUUUGUAUCAUUAUCAUACAUUUACUGUAUACUUCACAUGGGCUAAGGGGCAAAAGAUGCAGAGGUUUUAACCUGAAGAGGCUUAGACUCUUGCUGGGAAGAUAAAUUCAUGAAAAGAUUAAAACUUGAACACAGAGUGACAAAGGAGCAGCAUGAUGUUGGGAGAAGAUUAGUACUUCCACGAGGCAGUGUGAGGUUUUCUCAGCUCUUCUAACCAGCUUGUGGUUCCAGCAAAAGCUGGCUCACUUUUUAGUCCUCAGUUGGUGUUUUUAUAAAGUUAGGGCAUUGACUCAGUCCUUUCUAGCUGUGAGGUGCUGAGGAAGUAGCAUAACAAGUUGUGCACUGAUUACUUAAUUUCUACUGACUUUUAAGUAGGAUACCUGUAUUCAGUUCAUAAAAAUGCUUUUUCACUUUCUUUGUCUUAAGUAAAAUCUCUGAAGGAUAUGUAGGCUGAAUAUGCAUUUCAGUGAAAGGUAGAAUUGAAUUAAAAAUCUAAUUACAUUUGAUUUAAUGAUGCAAAUUUCUACAUCUAACAGCGUAGUAAGCCAAGGAUGGUGAGGUGGUAACUAAGUCUCUUGCCUGGAGGACAGCCUUUCCUCCCCUUCCCUGACUGCAUUGGAGGGAUGAGCACCAAGCGUAGAUUCUAACGUUGUUUCUAGAACGAAAUAAAAAUCAGCUUUUACAUAAACAGCCUAUCUUAGAUUUUAAAAGGGACUACCAUUUUAGGCUUUCCCUCUCUAAUUCUUUUAGAGUAAUGAUACAGUUACUGUAUAGUCCGGAAAAGUUAUGAUUUGAACUAUUUGUCUAAAAUGAGAAGUGCUGCAAAUUUUUAUCAGUGAAAAGGUAAAAUUAGUGUGGUGAUGAUUCCACCAUAAUUGGUUCCAGUUGGUUCUACUCGGGGAUGUCCUUUUUUGAGGCAUGAUUCAGCUACAGCCAAAUUAUAAUUUGUAAAGUCACGUGGAUGUCGAAUCAAGUCUGUGAAAAGUUGAAAAAUGUGAAAUUGGUUGAAACUUCCUUCCGCUCCAGAAAAAAGGGAAUGAAGAUUACAGCCAGUUUUGAAUUUAGCACCUCUCAUUGCCGGACCGUAGGUGACCCGAGGACAUUCGGUGUUCUCGGAUUUGUGCUGUCACUCGGUGGAGAGCUAAUGUCCUCCACUUUGGCAGUUAAAUUGCUGUGGAAAGCAGCUGUAUUUGAUGCACUUCUGAUCAAUACCUUGUACUUAUAUG